RNAcentral lists this ribosomal RNA (253 nucleotides) under uncultured bacterium. RNAcentral's name for it is "partial 16S ribosomal RNA". It matches the Rfam family "Bacterial small subunit ribosomal RNA", at positions 524 to 776 of the family's 1533-position model. The record is from RNAcentral.
UACAGAGGUGGCAAGCGUUGUUCGGAUUUACUGGGCGUAAAGCGUGCGUAGGCGGUCGCGUGUGUUGGAUGUGAAAUCCCGGGGCUCACCCCCGGACUGGCAUCCAAAACUGCGUGGCUAGAGGCCGGGAGAGGAGUCUGGAACACAUGGUGUAGCGGUGAAAUGCGUUGAUAUCAUGUGGAACACCGGAUGCGAAGGCGAGACUCUGGAACGGAUCUGACGCUGAGGUACGAAAGCGUGGGGAGCAAACAGG